This 1900-nucleotide long non-coding RNA is filed under the name Anas platyrhynchos platyrhynchos (common mallard). Its description in RNAcentral is "lncRNA (ENSAPLG00000020564.1)". Lineage: Eukaryota; Metazoa; Chordata; Aves; Anseriformes; Anatidae. The record is from RNAcentral.
UAUUUCCUCUAACCUCUUUUUCAUUCCUGAUGGCCUCAUCGUUAAGAGUCGGAUGUUCCCACCAAGCAUGGGGCUUGCUGACACCCAUGGCCACACUCCCACAUCUCCCCCUUCUUCAUUAAUAUCAACCAUCUUCUUGACACAAAUUACUAUGCCAUAUAUCAUAGUGGCAUCCCUGGCCAUGGCAGGGGGAGUGGAACUAGGUGAUCUUUAAGGUCCCUUCCAACCUGAGCCACUCUGCGUUUCUAUGGCUGUAGGAUUCUGUGAUUCUACGACCAAGACACUAUCUGUGGCAGGGUCACAAAUUUUUAUUUGUAUGACAACCACGUGUGCCCUGCUAAAGGCGCGGGGGCCUCUUGCAGGGCUGGGGAGAGUCUGGGUUGCUGUCGGCCCUCCUCUUCCUCCUCCGCCGGGGCCUCCCAGGUGAGCUGUCCCUGCCCUGGCCAGGAGGAGAGGGCUCGUGGCUGCAGCCCGGCACCACGGCAUCUUCUUCUUCCACCUCUCGUGGCUCUGAGAAGGGCUCCUCCUGCUCCCCGGGGAUGGGUGCGGUGGGCGGGUCGCCAGGACCCCCACGCAGGGCGGCACCGGAGGUGCUGGGCAGCUCAUCGAGGUCAGAAGCCUCCGGGCUGCUGGAGGACAGCAGCAUGCUGACAGGAGUGUCCCGGGUGGAGGCAGUAGGGCUGGGGGUGGCCUCGGGGCUCUCUUCUGGCUCCCAGGUGUCUUGGGAGCCCUCGAGCUCUGGCUCCCAGGUGUCUUGGGAGCCCUCGAUGUUUGGCUCCCAGGUGUCUUGGGAGCCCUCGAGGUCCACCUCAGGGCCGUUGUAGAGCCGGCUGGCAGGACGCGGUUCCAGGAAUCCCAGGUGCUCCAGGUACUCCUCGCUGCACGUCUGCACCAUGAUGGAAAUGAGGCGCUGCACAAAGCUCAGCGUGUGGCCCUGCAGCAACGGUUGCAGCUCCCGCACCAAGGCCUGCUCAUCCAGCCCACAGCGGCACAGCCAAGCGAUGACGGUGGCCUCCAGCAUGUCCUGGUCCCACCAGGCAGCGUUGAACAGCUCCCUGGCUUGCUGUCGCACCCAGGAGCGCAGCGGACCGAGGACUUCCAGGUGCUCCCUGAAGAGGGCCGCCCAUUCCUCAGGCAGGAGGCCUCUCAGGGCAGGCUGGGGCACUGGCUCUGCAGCCCCCUGCUCGUCCUGCUGGCUGUGGUCUUGGGCCUCUGCGUCGGGGGCAAGCUGCACCUCCAGGAAGUCGUCUUCCGCCCAGAUGGAGUAGCGGAUGGAGGUGAUGCGCUGCCUGCAGAGGGGGCAGGUGCUGCUUCUCUUGGCCCAGCGCAUGAUGCACCCGAAGCAGAAGUGGUGCAGACAGGGGAGGGUGUAGCUGGGCUCCUUGGGGGCCCCCUGGCACACAGGGCAGGUGACGUCCUGGGCCUCACUGGCCAUGGCGUCGGCUCGCUGCAGCGGGCUGGGGAGAGCUGCAGAUGGGGAGCUGCUUCCCCUGGCUGGCGCCGCUGCCACAGGUGCUGUGUGCUGCAAGAAGGAGAGAGGCCAGGGUCAGUGGCUGUGCCGGAGCGGGCAGCGGCAGUGCCCCGGCCCCUCAGCAGGACAAAACCCCAACGCGAGCCCCGGGGCACGUGUCCCCGCACAGCUCACCUGCACUGCUGCGAGCACUCUCCACACAGCCCCGGCUGCCUGAGCCAGGCAGGGCUGGGGAAACGCAGGCACUGGCUGCGGGGACGGGCACUGAGAGCAGCUGCCGACGGCCCCACAGCACAGCUCCAACAACUCCUCUCAACAAAUCCUUGCUCGGCACUCCAAGCCUCGCACACACGCUCAGCGGGAGUCCAGGCACGAGCCAGGCUGGGCCAGGCUCUGACGGCACCCCAAGAUAAGCAGGGAGGCCUGUGA